GAUGAACGCUGGCGGCGUGCCUAAUACAUGCAAGUCGAGCGAACAGAUAAGGAGCUUGCUCCUUUGACGUUAGCGGCGGACGGGUGAGUAACACGUGGGUAACCUACCUAUAAGACUGGGAUAACUUCGGGAAACCGGAGCUAAUACCGGAUAACAUUUGGAACCGCAUGGUUCUAAAGUGAAAGAUGGUUUUGCUAUCACUUAUAGAUGGACCCGCGCCGUAUUAGCUAGUUGGUAAGGUAACGGCUUACCAAGGCAACGAUACGUAGCCGACCUGAGAGGGGGAUCGGCCACACUGGAACUGCGACACGGUCCAGACUCCUACGGGAGGCAGCAGUAGGGAAUCUUCCGCAAUGGGCGAAAGCCUGACGGAGCAACGCCGCGUGAGUGAUGAAGGGUUUCGGCUCGUAAAACUCUGUUAUUAGGGAAGAACAAACGUGUAAGUAACUGUGCACGUCUUGACGGUACCUAAUCAGAAAGCCACGGCUAACUACGUG
This 497-nucleotide ribosomal RNA is filed under the name uncultured bacterium. RNAcentral describes it as "partial 16S ribosomal RNA". It matches the Rfam family "Bacterial small subunit ribosomal RNA", at positions 28 to 507 of the family's 1533-position model. The record is from RNAcentral.